CACGUAGGGCGCGAGCGUUGUCCGGAAUUAUUGGGCGUAAAGAGCUCGUAGGCGGCUUGUUGCGUCGUCCGUGAAAACUUGUGGCUUAACCACAGGCUGGCGGUCGAUACGGGCAGGCUGGAGUUCGGUAGGGGAGACUGGAAUUCCUGGUGUAGCGGUGAAAUGCGCAGAUAUCAGGAGGAACACCGGUGGCGAAGGCGGGUCUCUGGGCCGAUACUGACGCUGAGGAGCGAAAGCGUGGGGAGCGAACAGG
RNAcentral lists this ribosomal RNA (253 nucleotides) under uncultured bacterium. RNAcentral's name for it is "partial 16S ribosomal RNA". It matches the Rfam family "Bacterial small subunit ribosomal RNA", at positions 524 to 776 of the family's 1533-position model. The record is from RNAcentral.